RNAcentral lists this ribosomal RNA (253 nucleotides) under uncultured bacterium. RNAcentral's name for it is "partial 16S ribosomal RNA". It matches the Rfam family "Bacterial small subunit ribosomal RNA", at positions 524 to 776 of the family's 1533-position model. The record is from RNAcentral.
UACGUAGGGUGCAAGCGUUAAUCGGAAUUACUGGGCGUAAAGCGUGCGCAGGCGGUUUUGUAAGACAGGCGUGAAAUCCCCGGGCUCAACCUGGGAAUUGCGCUUGUGACUGCAAAGCUGGAGUGCGGCAGAGGGGGAUGGAAUUCCGCGUGUAGCAGUGAAAUGCGUAGAUAUGCGGAGGAACACCGAUGGCGAAGGCAAUCCCCUGGACCUGUACUGACGCUCAUGCACGAAAGCGUGGGGAGCAAACAGG